This 474-nucleotide ribosomal RNA is filed under the name uncultured organism. Its description in RNAcentral is "partial 16S ribosomal RNA". It matches the Rfam family "Bacterial small subunit ribosomal RNA", at positions 331 to 797 of the family's 1533-position model. The record is from RNAcentral.
GUACACUCCUACGGGAGGCAGCAGUGGGGAAUUUUGGACAAUGGGCGAAAGCCUGAUCCAGCAAUGCCGCGUGAGUGAAGAAGGCCUUCGGGUUGUAAAGCUCUUUUGUCAGGGAAGAAACGGUGAAAGCUAAUAUCUUUUGCUAAUGACGGUACCUGAAGAAUAAGCACCGGCUAACUACGUGCCAGCAGCCGCGGUAAUACGUAGGGUGCAAGCGUUAAUCGGAAUUACUGGGCGUAAAGCGUGCGCAGGCGGUUUUGUAAGUCUGAUGUGAAAUCCCCGGGCUCAACCUGGGAAUUGCAUUGGGGACUGCAAGGCUAGAAUCUGGCAGAGGGGGGUAGAAUUCCACGUGUAGCAGUGAAAUGCGUAGAUAUGUGGAGGAACACCGAUGGCGAAGGCAGCCCCCUGGGUCAAGAUUGACGCUCAUGCACGAAAGCGUGGGGAGCAAAGAGGAGUAGAUACCCGUGUAGUCCC